This 484-nucleotide ribosomal RNA is filed under the name uncultured bacterium. Its description in RNAcentral is "partial 16S ribosomal RNA". It matches the Rfam family "Bacterial small subunit ribosomal RNA", at positions 28 to 523 of the family's 1533-position model. The record is from RNAcentral.
GAUGAACGCUGGCGGCGUGCUUAACACGUGCAAGUCGAACGGUGAAGCAGGAGCUUGCUCUUGUGGAUCAGUGGCGAACGGGUGAGUAACACGUGAGCAACCUGCCCCUGACUCUGGGAUAAGCGCUGGAACCGGCGUCUAAUACUGGAUAUGUGAUGUGACCGAAUGGUCUGCAUCUGGAAAGAAUUUCGGUUGGGGAUGGGCUCGCGGGCUAUCAGCUUGUUGGUGAGGUAAUGGCUCACCAGGGCGUCGACGGGUAGCCGGCCUGAGAGGGUGACCGGCCACACUGGGACUGAGACACGGCCCAGACUCCUACGGGAGGCAGCAGUGGGGAAUAUUGCACAAUGGGCGGAAGCCUGAUGCAGCAACGCCGCGUGAGGGAUGACGGCCUUCGGGUUGUAAACCUCUUUUAGCAGGGAAGAAGCGAAAGUGACGGUACCUGCAGAAAAAGCACCGGCUAACUACGUGCCAGCCGCCGCCGUAA